GAUGAACGCUGGCGGCGUGCCUAAUACAUGCCAGUCGAGCGAACAGAUGAGGAGCUUGCUCCUCUGACGUUAGCGGCGGACGGGUGAGUAACACGUGGAUAACCUACCUAUAAGACUGGGAUAACUUCGGGAAACCGGAGCUAAUACCGGAUAAUAUAUUGAACCGCAUGGUUCAAUAGUGAAAGACGGUUUUGCUGUCACUUAUAGAUGGAUCCGCGCCGCAUUAGCUAGUUGGUAAGGUAACGGCUUACCAAGGCAACGAUGCGUAGCCGACCUGAGAGGGUGAUCGGCCACACUGGAACUGAGGCACGGUCCAGACUCCUACGGGAGGCAGCAGUAGGGAAUCUUCCGCAAUGGGCGAAAGCCUGACGGAGCAACGCCGCGUGAGUGAUGAAGGUCUUCGGAUCGUAAAACUCUGUUAUUAGGGAAGAACAAAUGUGUAAGUAACUAUGCACGUCUUGACGGUACCUAAUCAGAAAGCCACGGCUAACUACGUG
This 497-nucleotide ribosomal RNA is filed under the name uncultured bacterium. Its description in RNAcentral is "partial 16S ribosomal RNA". It matches the Rfam family "Bacterial small subunit ribosomal RNA", at positions 28 to 507 of the family's 1533-position model. The record is from RNAcentral.